CUUAGGCGGAGCAACGCAUACGCCUAGACACGAUUAAUGCAUAGAAAGCGGCGAGGAGGCGGCGCAAGGCAGGGCAAGGCGCGGCCCGAUAUGGAGCUCGCGCCGUUGAAAGCACGGACGGGAAGGUGCAAGAAUAUUGGGGAAGAUGGCGAGAAGAUUGCGGGGAGUUUGCUGGCGAGAGGAAAGGAGAUACUGUAUUUGGCUAGGUUUUGGAUAUAUAUAAACACAAAAGGGCGGCGGCGGCCUGAGCUAUUCCACCGUCGCUUCAUCCUCCGGCCACUGGAAGCUCAUAUGACAAGUUAAUGAGGGCCGGUCAUAUCUAGUGUCUGAAGAAGUAAAAGAGGACUGCUACCUACAGGCGACGGUUCUGAAGGAUGUUGGAGACAAAUACAACAUCAGUGUUGCUGGAAGAGAAUGCCCGUAAGAGAAAGUCGGAUGAUGUGGGAUGGGAGUAUGGGAGUCUAGCCGAUGUUUCCAACAAGGACAAAAUGAAGUGUUUGUUUUGUAACCAUGUGAUCAUUGGAGGUGUUUAUCGUCACAAGCAGCAUGUGGCUCACGUUGGUAAUUUUGUGGCUAAAUGCAAGAAAAGCUCGCAGGAAGCUAAAGAUAGGUGCAAGAAAUCUCUUGAGGAGGCAUCUAAGAAGAGGAGGGAAAAGACUUCCCGUGAGCUAGAGCUCAGAGAACACGUGAAUAUUUCUCGUGUUGGAGAUGCUUAAGUUACUUGUAUUGGAAGCGCUGAGCCACACAAGAUAGGUCCCAUUGAGAGUGGACACGUCCUAUUGAUCCUAAAUUAACUCAAGUUGUGCAUCUGUGUGGAACUAUCCCUGUUGUGACUUGAGAGAAGUCUUUCAAAAAAGAUUCUAGGAAUAAAGUACUUAUGAACUUGAGCUCAUAAUUUAUAAUGCUAUAUGCCAUAUUGGGUCUUGCGUG
Molecule: long non-coding RNA, 930 nt
Organism: Triticum aestivum (bread wheat)
Lineage: Eukaryota; Viridiplantae; Streptophyta; Magnoliopsida; Poales; Poaceae
Exons: 3
Source: RefSeq, a predicted model, not a curated record